GUGAAUCGCCUUCAUCUUCUUCAUCUUCUCCACCUUGAGGGCAAGCUUGAGAGGUAAACGAACGCGUUGGCGAAGACGGUUCGGCGAUUCGUCAAGCCGGUACGAAGUUAUUAAAGGAAUGGACGUUUAGGCUUUGUUUUCGCCUGGAGGGCCGAGGCGACAUCGUAAAAUCCUGGAAACGGAUUUGAAGCACCGUAAUAGCAAAACGAAGACCCUUUUUGCCCGAGGCUGCGAAGCGAUGCGCGGUUGGUGCGUAAUUGCAAGUUCCGACGGAACCGGGCACCGGAUGCUGGGGGAGGCCGAUUGUAAGUGUCGACAAGCAAUCGGAAUGCACUAACAGGUUCGUACGUGAGCGGCGCGGCGGCGCGAGGAAAGGGCAUAGCUCCGUAGAUAGCGCCCUACCCCAGAGACCAGAGCUAGCAGUACCCCGUCGACAUAGCUUAGGGGUUAAGGAAAUAAAAAGAACACAAUGGAACAUAAUGUAUCAAAUUUGUAAUAAGUAAAGGUUGUAAUAACUUAGUUUGCAUUUGGAUAAAAAGAAUAGUAAAUGUGAUGUAAAAUGUAUGCAAUG
Molecule: long non-coding RNA, 571 nt
Organism: Ananas comosus (pineapple)
Lineage: Eukaryota; Viridiplantae; Streptophyta; Magnoliopsida; Poales; Bromeliaceae
Exons: 3
Source: RefSeq, a predicted model, not a curated record